AUGAGAGAGCAAGAAAAGGAAAGUAAAAAAACGUGUUCCUGUCAUCUCCACUCUGCACCAGGACGUCCUUCCUCCCGCGCUGUCUCCCUCCCACUGCGCCGCGAGGUAGCCCCCGCCUCCCCUGUCCUCACUCCUCUCCCCAAACCCCAGCCACGAGCGGUUCAUGAGUCUGGGGGUGGUGCCUCUGUGUUUCCGGCCGAAGGAAGGGGAGCUCCACGGUCAGUCUGCCUGUCUCACCCCAUCUUCUACACAUUGCUACUUGGCCGAGGACAGCUUCCAGACCAGACUGGCCAGGGCCCUGCAUUUCCCCCGCUCAAAGCAAAGUACUAGGCUUAAGACACAGUCCCUGGAUCUCUUGGAAUCUGCUUGAAGUUGCAAGAUUCCUGAUGUUUGGAACAGCUGCCUAUCUCUCAACGGGGAUAAAUGUUAAGUUUCCACACUUGGGGCCAAACACCAAUCGUACAAUUUGCAGUUCGGGGGAGAUGUGGCCUACCAGCAGCUUGCGUGGAAGAGGACUGAGGAGGUUUUGUUAAUAACGUACGCGCUCGGAGUCAACGGCGGCCACUGAAAAGGCUAACGCCAAAUCAGGCCGCGUCAACGGGUAUUUUAUGGCCACAGGAAGGACAGGAGGCCCUGAAGCCAUGGUCACUGCAAAGCUGCAACAGGUCUGGAGAGAGAGAGACCGGAGUAGGUUCAGAAACAAAGUGAAUAGGACAGAGCAGGCAGCUCUUCGAGGUAGAAUUUGACAUCAUGAAGGGCCAAGCCCCAAGCAGUCAAUGGACCAGAUGUGGCUGGCUAGGGAAAUGAAUUUGGACCCGAUAUAAACUUAACACUUGGACCAGAUGAGCUUGAAGGUCACUUGCACCUUUAAAAGUCAGUAGUUUGGGGUGUCUCUUCUAAAGCCCGAUUACGUCCUUUCCACAACCGCUCAGAACACGAUAUUUCUGACGAAAGGGACAAUAUGGCUGGUUCUUCAUAAAGAGCUUCUGGACAGUGGCUUUGUGGCAUCUUCUGUCAUCAGAAAGGUGAAAUGAUAGCAUUUGAGUUUAAAAUGAAAAACCACGUGGCAUGAUCAGGAGGAUCUGUCAGGGGAAAUCUGCCUGUCUACCUACCCACCAUGUCACUGAGCUGGCCCAGGCCAGAGUGAAAUGAUAAUGGGGCAGGGGCGGGAUUCAUUGAGCGAGGUAAAAUAGAGCAUAAAAGAGAAAACCCCAAAUAAACAAGGUAUAUCUUUAGUGCUUUGGACA
This 1247-nucleotide long non-coding RNA is filed under the name Felis catus (domestic cat). Its description in RNAcentral is "lncRNA (ENSFCAG00000053507.1)". The record is from RNAcentral. Lineage: Eukaryota; Metazoa; Chordata; Mammalia; Carnivora; Felidae.